UUUUAGAGUUACUAUAGAAAUAUGUUUUAAUUAAUAAAAUAAUUACAAUACAUCUCAUUCGUUAUUUGAUCUAAAAUCUAAACAAAAACUAUAUUUUUCAUUAGAUUAACAAUAAAAUUAAUUAGUAAUAUACCAAAAAAAUUCUUCUUUCUUUUUUCAAAUAAAAGUUAUAGAAUUACUUAAACCCUAAACCCUAAACCCUAAAUCCUAAACCCCACCCUUUAACUC
Molecule: long non-coding RNA, 228 nt
Filed under: Brassica napus (rape)
Lineage: Eukaryota; Viridiplantae; Streptophyta; Magnoliopsida; Brassicales; Brassicaceae
Description: long non-coding RNA (BNAP_LNC022329)
Source: RNAcentral